Molecule: non-coding RNA, 1312 nt
Organism: Taeniopygia guttata (zebra finch)
Lineage: Eukaryota; Metazoa; Chordata; Aves; Passeriformes; Estrildidae
Source: RefSeq, a predicted model, not a curated record
CGUGGAAUCGCGGCUUGGCUUGGCAAGGACCCAAAGGCCCCAUUCCCGUCUCCAUUCAGGAAUUUCAGCCCCAGCUUCCCAAAUUCCACCCUAAUUCCAAAGGUUUAUGCACACAAGCACCGCGCGGGGAGGUCUCCGGGGCGGACCCGCCAGAACCAGGAAAUGCAGAGCCGAAAUUUAACCCCAAAAACCUGGGAGAAGGCUCAUUCCCCGUCCUGGAAAUUAAAAAUAAAAAAUAUCCCUGGCGUAGGGAUUUCCCCAAGAAAUCCCUGGAAAAGCUUCGGGAGCGGGCAGGGCGGUGUCACCUCCUGGCACCUCCCGAAUCCCGCACAAAGGUCCCCGUUCCACCCGUUUGUUUAAACAAACCCAUUCCCGGCGGGAUAAACCCCCAGGAAUACCCAGCAGGGAUUCGCACCCGAGCUGGGCUCCGGCCCGGGGGGAAUUUGGGAUUUUCCCGGAGUUUCUGCCGGCGGGGAGGCUCCGGGACACCCCGGCUGAGGCUCCCGGAGCUUUUCCAUGCUCCCGGAUAUUCCCGGAGAUGAAAUCCCGCCCGGAUCCGGCCGUGCUGGGACUGUCCGAGGGGUGUGAUCCGUCUGGAACCGGGGCGAGCGCCCGGCCCUGAGCAGCACCGGGACCCCCCCAGCGCCCUGGAGCCCCCCAAAAUCACCCCAGAGCCCCGCGGGGACCCACCCCCGAGGCGCCGCUGCGUGUCCGUCCUGGAGCGCGGCCCGGCCUGGGAGGAGGAGGAGGAGGAGGAGGAGGAGGAAGAGCGAGCGGCCCGGGUGUCCCUGCGGAGAGGGGGGACGCUCCGGAGCCCCCCGGACCCGUUCCGCCGGCACAGCUGGGAGCCGGGCAGGGAUCCGCGGGGCAUCCCGGGCUACGGCCGGCUCAGCGGGAGCCCCGAGCUCGGCUCCAGCCCGGAGCAGCUUGGGGGGCUCUGCCGGCAGCAGCGGGACCCCCGGAGAGCCCCCCUGGUGCACAGCAGUGACCGGCUGGACUCGCUGCUCUGGCAGGACCUGGAGGACGAGGCCGACCUGAGGCGGGCACAGGAGGACGCUCAGAGGCUCCCGGCUCCCCGGGCCGGGCCGCGCUCCCGGGGCUGGUCCCGCUUCAAAUCCGCGUCUCUCGGUGUCAUCUCCGGUGUCCCCGGCCAGGAGGGUGAGUCUGUCCCCCGCGUCCCCCCGGCGCUGUCCCUGCUGCGACCUCCCCGCUAACGACCCGAAAUCGAUGGCGCUGCCACCGCUGUUAAUUAUCCCCCCCCCGGUAGCGUUAAUUAUCCCUCGGCAGCUCCUCGCGGCCCUUUCCUAAAUCU